GACGAACGCUGGCGGCGUGCUUAACACAUGCAAGUCACGGGGGUCCCGGGGGCAACUCUGGGAUAACCGGCGAACGGGUGCGUAACACGUGAACAACCUGCCCUCGUGUGGGGGAUAGCCAUGCUAACGCGUGGGUAAUACCGCAUACGUUCUCUUUGGGGAGUCCCGAGGAGAGGAAAGCUCCGGCGCACGGGGAGGGGUUCGCGGCCUAUCAGCUAGUUGGCGGGGUAAUGGCCCACCAAGGCGACGACGGGAGCUGGUCUGAGAGGAUGGCCAGCCACAUUGGGACUGAGACACGGCCCAGACUCCUACGGGAGGCAGCAGUGGGGAAUAUUGCGCAAUGGACGAAAGUCUGACGCAGCAACGCCGCGUGAGGGAUGACGGCCUUCGGUU
RNAcentral lists this ribosomal RNA (393 nucleotides) under uncultured bacterium. RNAcentral's name for it is "bacterial SSU rRNA". It matches the Rfam family "Bacterial small subunit ribosomal RNA", at positions 28 to 423 of the family's 1533-position model. The record is from RNAcentral.